This is a long non-coding RNA of Nicotiana attenuata, 346 nucleotides long. RefSeq lists it as uncharacterized. The record is from RefSeq and is a predicted model, not a curated record. The transcript is spliced from 2 exons. NCBI's taxonomy places the organism in Eukaryota, Viridiplantae, Streptophyta, Magnoliopsida, Solanales, Solanaceae.
UGUUACGUGUCAAGAAUCCCGGAGGAUUCACAACAAAAGCUGGUCAGAAUUCGCCCCAUAGUCAGUCGAGUGCUCAAAAUUGGUACACAUUUGAAUCUGCCCUGCUGUAACAUUAAGCUUGAAAUGGAAUACAAAUGUUCAUCUGUUUGAUCUUGAAGUGUGCUGUUUGGACUGUGGUGUAUUGAUAGUUAAAUAGGUGUAUUGAAGUGUUGAAUCAAUUUUGUAGUAUGUGUGUAAAUACUGGACUGUUAACUGGACUGUAUAACUGGACCAUUCGUAUGGACUGUCUCGAACUGAUAUGGACUGUUAUAUAUUGAUAGUUCAAUAGUAGCUUAAUUCCGAUUUA